This 573-nucleotide ribosomal RNA is filed under the name uncultured bacterium. RNAcentral describes it as "bacterial LSU rRNA". It matches the Rfam family "Bacterial large subunit ribosomal RNA", at positions 614 to 1181 of the family's 2925-position model. The record is from RNAcentral.
AAUGGGUCAGCGACUUAGUCUGGCGAGCAAGCUUAAGCCGUUAGGUGUAGGCGUAGCGAAAGCGAGUCUGAACAGGGCGUUCAGUUCGUCGGAUUAGACCCGAAACCGGGUGAUCUAGCCAUGAGCAGGUUGAAGGUAAGGUAACACUUACUGGAGGACCGAACCGGUGCCUGUUGAAAAAGUCUCGGAUGACUUGUGGCUAGGGGUGAAAGGCCAAUCAAACUCGGAAAUAGCUGGUUCUCCGCGAAAGCUAUUUAGGUAGCGCCUCGCGUGAAUACUCUCGGGGGGUAGAGCACUGGAUGGGUGCGGGGUACUUACCGUAUUACCAAACCUAACCAAACUCCGAAUACCGAGAAGUACUGCGCGGGAGACACACGGCGGGUGCUAACGUCCGUCGUGGAGAGGGAAACAACCCUGACUUACAGCUAAGGCCCCUAAUUCGUGGCUAAGUGUGAAAGGAUGUGGGAAUCCCAAAACAACCAGGAGGUUGGCUUAGAAGCAGCCAUCCUUUAAAGAAAGCGUAACAGCUCACUGGUCUAAAUAAGGGUUCCUGCGCCGAAAAUGUAACGGGGC